AACAAACAUUCGCUUAGUAAAUAAAUUCUGGAGUCGAACUUAUCUUGGUUUUAUCGUUUAGCUAAAUUAUUUAAGUAAAGUAAAACUGUUUUUUAAUAUAAAUAUAAUAAAAAAGUAGGCCUGUAUAUCUUUAUGAAUGAAAGAUUUCGAACAAUCUCAAGAUUUAUUUGUAAAUAGUUGUAAUCCAUGAACUGUCAAGAGGCGACUGUGAGUGGAGUCAAAGUUCCGACGCCGCGCCGCGCCACGACGCUAUUGAUCGGGCGAGUCCACCUGCAGGGACGCCCCUAUCGAUUUCAGUGUCUCCUCGACCAUGGACGGCUACGGAGGCAACGAGGGCUACGAAAGCUAUGGAGGACAUCCCGGCGUUACAACCCACGGCAUGCAAGGAGUCCGCCCCAAGGUGGACCCUGAGGCAUUGGGUGAAGUCGACCCCAAUCUCUAUCCUCAACCCAAGGAGGCCACUCACAAGAUCCGCGGCAGGUCGGACAUUCUGGAGCUUUUGUGCGGGGAUGUCGACCAGGAACUCUUGACGGUCAAGACAUUUUAUUUCUUUUUCUACUCCGCAUUCGGUUCCCUGUUUCCCCUCAUGGGAGUGUAUUUCAAGCAGAUGGGCAUGAAUCCGGGACAGUGCGGCUUACUUAUCGGGUCCAGGCCGUUUGUCGAAUUUUUGGCAGCGCCAUUUUGGGGUAGUCUCGCCGACAGGUGGCAGAAAGGGAAAAUGUUGUUGCUGGCAUCGCUGUCAUGUUGGAUAAUAUUUACACUUCCACUUGGCUUCAUUCAGCCUCCUGCCACGUCUUGCCUGGUGAGAAAGAAUGUCACGGAGUAUGUCCUUGAGACACCGAAGGUUCCACGGAUACUCAAGAGGGAAGCUCCGGACAUGCUAGGACCUGAACCUGCACUCCCCACUCCCUUGGCAAUCCGGACAAACCUCCACGAACAAGAGCAUGCUGCCCAACAUAACACUCUGAAGAGAGACGUUCCCCACUGGAUUGAGCCAGAGGUACCUAUCCCCGUAGUGGAAGAGGAAGAGCCACUGGUGAGGAACAUCCGGUCAGCGAAACCACACGUCUACGCAGGCAUGUCACCUCUCGACAUACGAUUUGUCAAGGGCUACAAUGAAAAGGAGCAGGCCAAUUGGGUGUCACCUAUAUUCAGCUCUAUUGUCUACCGCACUCAGAUUCCAGAAACUUCUAGUAAAACAUCUAGUGAAAGUGAAACAUAUGCUACGGACACAGUUGAGAAACUAUUAACUUCCAAGCCACUUAACUUGAAACUUACAGAGAUCCAGGACAUUCAAAAGGCCUUUUUCUUGUUGAUUCUUCUUGUGAUCAUCGGGGAGUUCUUCAGUGCACCAGCCAUCACUCUGGCGGACUCGGCUGUGAUCACACUGCUUGGCGAGGAUGCAGACCGUUACGGCCACCAGCGAAUGUUUGGCUCAUUGGGGUGGGGGUUAGCCAUGUUCUUCGUGGGUAUUGCACUCGACCACUCGACUGCAUUCCCUGAUCAUCCCUGUGGCCCUGAUGAGCGGGAGAAGAACUACACGAUAUGUUUUGCCACGUUCUCCGUCCUCAUGGGUGCUGCACUGAUAUGUGCUACGCAGAUAAACUUCAAGUACGAGUUCCCGAGUGAGGUACCUGAAAUCGAAAAGCCUCCUCCUGAGCCGACAAGGGAGGACUACCUUCAGCAAGAGUUGGCUCAGCAGCUGAAUCUUCCUGCUCUGGCCACUAACAGUAUCAAUGCACCCCCUCCUCCCACCCCUAAGACUCAAAUGUUCGCCCAGACUACUCGGGAGAUACCAGAAUGGGUGACUGUUCUCAAAUACUUUGCAAACGUAAAGUGUGGAUCAUUCUUAUUCGUCUCGUGGUUCAUGGGUUUUGGAAUCGGUCUCAUUUUCACCUUCCUUUUCUGGCAUUUACAGGAUUAUGGCGGCUCACCAACAUUGUUCGGUGUUGCUUCAGUGAUCAAUCAUAUCUCAGAAAUAUUUGCAUAUUUUUUUAGUUUUCGUCUAAUUACGCAGAUGGGCCAUGUUAAGGUUCUCUGCUUGGGUUUGGCUGGUAAUGUGUUGAGAUUCCUUUACAUCUCAUAUCUGAAAAAUCCAUGGUGGGUCUUGCCAUUUGAAUUUAUGCAAGGAAUCACACAUGCUGCUGUGUGGGCUGCCUGCUGCUCAUAUAUUGCACAUAACACGCCACAACACCUGCGCAGUUCGGCCCAGGGAGUUCUGCAAGGAAUCCAUCAUGGUCUGGGUCGUGGCUGUGGUGCCGUCAUAGGCGGACUCUUUGUCACAUACUUUGGAACAACAGCAACAUUCCGUGGGUAUGGUCUCUGCUGUGCUGUCGUGUUGGCAGCUUUCAUCUUCAUCAACUUUUAUCGUAUUGACACUGGUUUCGUCUCUGAGCUUCCUGUCACUGAAGAUCCACAUCAGGUGGCUGAGGAAACGGCUCACUUAGCUCCGCACGGUGUCCCCAGCAACCCCAUGCCCCGGGCUCUCUCUAGUUCUCGACUACAUGACCUCGCCUCGGACCAGGGCUACGGGGCUACCUACAAUACCACUGGGGGCAACUUGGAUAUUCCUGGAGCUGGUGGUAACAUGGGCGACCACAUUCCUUUGAUUACUUCUAAGAGUUCCCGACGGUAACGAAUGGCCAAUUGAGUGCUGACAGAAAUUGUAACUGCUUCAUUAUGUUUAAUAGAACAGAGGUGGAAACACAAAUCCAUUCAGGCAGUAUAGUGAUUACAAUAAUUAUCAAUCCAAUAACCGAACACCAAGUGAAGAGGAAACAAUUCGUAAACAUUUCCAGAUGUACAGUGAAGUGCUGGCACAGUAUGACAGUACUCAGCCC
This 2840-nucleotide unclassified non-coding RNA is filed under the name Homalodisca vitripennis (glassy-winged sharpshooter). RNAcentral's name for it is "major facilitator superfamily domain-containing protein 6, transcript variant X3". The record is from RNAcentral. Lineage: Eukaryota; Metazoa; Arthropoda; Insecta; Hemiptera; Cicadellidae.